Molecule: ribosomal RNA, 484 nt
Filed under: uncultured bacterium
Lineage: Bacteria
Description: partial 16S ribosomal RNA
Rfam family: Bacterial small subunit ribosomal RNA
Source: RNAcentral
AUUGAACGCUGGCGGCAUGCUUUACACAUGCAAGUCGAACGGCAGCGCGGGCUUCGGCCUGGCGGCGAGUGGCGAACGGGUGAGUAAUACAUCGGAACGUGCCCAGUAGUGGGGGAUAGCUCGGCGAAAGCCGGAUUAAUACCGCAUACGACCUGAGGGUGAAAGCGGGGGAUCUUCGGACCUCGCGCUAUUGGAGCGGCCGAUGGCAGAUUAGCUAGUUGGUGGGGUAAAGGCCUACCAAGGCGACGCUCUGUAGCUGGUCUGAGAGGACGACCAGCCACACUGGGACUGAGACACGGCCCAGACUCCUACGGGAGGCAGCAGUGGGGAAUUUUGGACAAUGGGCGAAAGCCUGAUCCAGCAAUGCCGCGUGUGUGAUGAAGGCCUUCGGGUUGUAAAGCACUUUUGGCGGGAACGAAAAGGACUGUGCCAAUACCACGGUUCGAUGACGGUACCCGCAGAAUAAGCACCGGCUAACUACGUG